This 2345-nucleotide long non-coding RNA is filed under the name Salmo salar (Atlantic salmon). RNAcentral's name for it is "lncRNA (ENSSSAG00000097049.1)". The record is from RNAcentral. Lineage: Eukaryota; Metazoa; Chordata; Actinopteri; Salmoniformes; Salmonidae.
UUAUGACAUGUUUUGUCCUAUAUCAUCUUCUAAUUAACAUAUGCAUCAGUGUAUGUACUCAAAACUCCAAAGAUUGUAUUUCCUUCAAUGCUUUGUUUUUAUUUCUGUAAUGCUUCAGGGAAAUGUAAAGACAAGGUCCUGGACAGUAACAGGAUUAUUGUCUUUCUGUCUGAGACAGAGUCAUCAUAGAGAUCUAGUAGAUUAUUUAGAUUAGGGUUGGGGUCAAUUCCUUUACAAAUCAGGAAGUAAACUGAAAGUCCAAUUCCAAUUUUCCUCAAUGCCUCUCUAUGAGAAAAUAUCAGUUUACUUCCUGAAUUGACAGUAUUGACAUUGAAUUGACCCCAACACUGAUUUAGAGAUAAGAGAGAGACUGUAGUCCUCUUGGGGGAGUAGAGAAGGGGAGGGGAGGCAGGGAGCAGUGUUCCUCUUGGGGGAGUACAGGUGAGGGGAGACAGAGGACAGCCCAGUCUGGUGUAUCAGAGAUGAGGGGAGACAGAGGACAGCCCAGUCUGAUGUAUCAGAGAUGAGGGGAGACAGAGGACAGCCCAGUCUGAUGUAUCAGAGAUGAGGGGAGACAGAGGACAGCCCAGUCUGGUGUAUCAGAGAUGAGGGGAGACAGAGAACAGCCCAGUCUGAUGUAUCAGAGAUGAGGGUAGACAGAGGACAGCCCAGUCUGAUGUAUCAGAGAUGAGGGGAGACAGAGGACAGCCCAGUCUGAUUACUGGAGGUUCUCUUGCUACAGAGAUGGUCUAUAGAAGCCUUUUAGUAGCUGGCAUUCCUAACCUCAACUGAGAGGAUCUCUGUCCCUCUGAUGGCCCUGUUGGUGUCCACUCUGUCUCUCUGUGUGUGUCCUGUUCUUCGCUGUCUGGGACUAAGGGGGUGUUGUGUAAAUUGAGGGGGGUGGGGUUAGUAGUCUUUUGGCAGCAUGACCCUGCGCCCACCCAUGAAAUAACACAAGGUGAUCUUCCUUCUGAAAGGAAUGUUGUCCAGGGCCUCCACUGCCACCCUCUUGUUGCCCCUGCCGUUGCUCUCCUCCUGGUCGUACAUGGGGCACAUGUAGGCCGUUUGCCUCAGGGCAUAAAUGUCCACCUCGUCCUCGUCGUCCCACAGCUGGAAGGGAACGGCCGACUUGACCAGCUCAUAGAUUUCACCUGGAUUAACCUGGUCAGUCUGUCAUGAAAAGAGCACGACAUGUUCUUAAUGUUUUGUCACUCAGUGUAGACAACCAUGUUCUUACUGUCGGAGAUCCCUGUGCUGUUACCAGCAAUAAAUAAAAUACAAUGAGAAGUAUUUGUACUUUUGAUGAUGGUAUUUUGAAAUUGUAUCUCAAGAUGACUUGGUAAUGUAUAUAAUGUGCAGUGGUGUAAAGUGCCUAACCUGUCAAGGUAUAGGGGGCAGUAUUUUCGAUUUCGGAUGAAAAGCGUAAACUGCCUAAUACUCGGGCCCAGAGUCAAAUAUUUGCAUAUUAUUAGUAGAUUUGGAUAGAAAACACUCUGAAGUUUCUAAAACUGUUUGAAUGAUGUCUGUGAAUAUAACAGAACUCAUAUGGUAGGCGAAAACCUGAGAAAAAUCCAACCAGGAAGUGGGAAAUCAGAUGCUUGUAGUCUUUUCAAGUCAUUGCCUAUCUAACACACAGUGACUAAGGCUUCCACUAGAUGUCAACAGUCUUUAGAACCUUGUUUCAGACUUUUGCAGUGAACAGAGAGCGAACAAGAAGGCCGGGAAGAUGGUGACUCAGAAAAUGACAUGAGUUUAGUGGCGCGCAUUCACAUGAUGAGGUAGCUGUGUUCCAUAACGUUUUUCAUGACAUUGGAAUCGUCCGGUUGGAAUAUUAUCGAAGUUUUACAUUAAAAAGGCCAUUUGACAUGUUUCUACGAACGUAAAUAUAACUUUUUUUUGACUUUUCGUCGUGAAAUUUUCGGCGCACUUCCUACAUUUGGAGUAGCUUACUGAACGCGCAAACAACGAGGUAUUUGGACAUAAAUUAUGGACUUUAUCGAACAAACCAACAUUUAUUGUGGACCUGGGAUUCCUGGAAGUGCCUUUUAAUGAAGAUAUUUAUAAUGCUAUUUAUGAUUUUAGAUGACUCCAAAAUGGCGGGUAUCUGUAUUGCCUGGUGUAUGUUUCUGAGCGCCGUACUCAGAUUAUUGCAAAGUGUGCUUUCCCCGUGAAGCUUUUUUGAAAUCUGUCACAGCGGUUGCGUUAAGGAGAUGUUUAUCUAUAAUUCUUUGAAUAACAGUUUAAUAUUUUAUCAACGUUUAUGAUGAGUAUUUUUGUAAAUUGUUGUGCUGAUUCACCGGCAGUUUGAGGCAAAAUAUUUUCUGAACAUCACGCGCCAAUGUAAA